Molecule: ribosomal RNA, 253 nt
Filed under: uncultured bacterium
Lineage: Bacteria
Description: partial 16S ribosomal RNA
Rfam family: Bacterial small subunit ribosomal RNA
Source: RNAcentral
UACAGAGGGGGCAAGCGUUGUUCGGAAUUACUGGGCGUAAAGGGCGCGUAGGCGGCCUUCUAAGUCGAACGUGAAAUCCCCGGGCUCAACCCGGGAACUGCGUCCGAUACUGGAAGGCUUGAAUCCGGGAGAGGGAUGCGGAAUUCCAGGUGUAGCGGUGAAAUGCGUAGAUAUCUGGAGGAACACCGGUGGCGAAGGCGGCAUUCUGGACCGACAUUGACGCUGAGGAGCGAAAGCCAGGGGAGCAAACGGG